This 253-nucleotide ribosomal RNA is filed under the name uncultured bacterium. Its description in RNAcentral is "partial 16S ribosomal RNA". It matches the Rfam family "Bacterial small subunit ribosomal RNA", at positions 524 to 776 of the family's 1533-position model. The record is from RNAcentral.
GACGGAGGGUGCAAGCGUUGUUCGGAUUGACUGGGCGUAAAGGGCGUGUAGGCGGUCGGUCAAGUCUGGUGUGAAAGCCCGGGGCUCAGCUCCGGAAGUGCAUCGGAAACUAGCUGGCUGGAGCGCGAUAGAGGAGGGCGGAAUUCCUGGUGUAGCGGUGAAAUGCGUAGAUAUCAGGAGGAACACCGGUGGCGAAGGCGGGACUCUGGGCCGAUACUGACGCUGAGGAGCGAAAGCGUGGGGAGCGAACAGG